This 292-nucleotide ribosomal RNA is filed under the name uncultured bacterium. RNAcentral describes it as "partial 16S ribosomal RNA". The record is from RNAcentral.
GGACUACAGGGGUAUCUAAUCCUGUUUGCUCCCCACGCUUUCGCGCCUCAGCGUCAGUAUCGGUCCAGAGAGCCGCCUUCGCCACUGGUGUUCUUCCCAAUAUCUACGAAUUUCACCUCUACACUGGGAAUUCCACCCUCCUCUCCCGAUCUCUAGCUCAACAGUCCCAAAUGCAAUUCCCAGGUUAAGCCCGGGGCUUUCACAUCUGACUUGUCAAGCCGCCUGCGCGCCCUUUACGCCCAGUAAUUCCGAACAACGCUUGCCCCCUUCGUAUUACCGCGGCUGCUGGCAC